UACGAAGGGGGCUAGCGUUGUUCGGAAUCACUGGGCGUAAAGGGCGCGUAGGCGGCUUUAUAAGUCGGGGGUGAAAGCCUGUGGCUCAACCACAGAAUUGCCUUCGAUACUGUAGAGCUUGAGACCGGAAGAGGUAAGUGGAACUGCGAGUGUAGAGGUGAAAUUCGUAGAUAUUCGCAAGAACACCAGUGGCGAAGGCGGCUCACUGGCCCGGUACUGACGCUGAGGUGCGAAAGCGUGGGGAGCAAACAGG
RNAcentral lists this ribosomal RNA (253 nucleotides) under uncultured bacterium. RNAcentral's name for it is "partial 16S ribosomal RNA". It matches the Rfam family "Bacterial small subunit ribosomal RNA", at positions 524 to 776 of the family's 1533-position model. The record is from RNAcentral.